This 764-nucleotide ribosomal RNA is filed under the name uncultured bacterium. RNAcentral describes it as "bacterial SSU rRNA". It matches the Rfam family "Bacterial small subunit ribosomal RNA", at positions 748 to 1510 of the family's 1533-position model. The record is from RNAcentral.
CAUGCACGAAAGCGUGGGUAGCAAACAGGAUUAGAUACCCUGGUAGUCCACGCCCUAAACGAUGUCAACUAGGUGUUGGGAGGGUAAAACCUUUUAGUACCGUAGCUAACGCGAGAAGUUGACCGCCUGGGGAGUACGGCCGCAAGGUUAAAACUCAAAGGAAUUGACGGGGACCCGCACAAGCGGUGGAUGAUGUGGAUUAAUUCGAUGCAACGCGAAAAACCUUACCUACCCUUGACAUGUUCAGGAGUCCGAAGAGAUUUGGAUGUGCUCGAAAGAGAACUGGAACACAGGUGCUGCAUGGCUGUCGUCAGCUCGUGUCGUGAGAUGUUGGGUUAAGUCCCGCAACGAGCGCAACCCUUGUCGUUAAUUGCCAUCAUUGAGUUGGGCACUUUAACGAGACUGCCGGUGACAAACCGGAGGAAGGUGGGGAUGACGUCAAGUCCUCAUGGCCCUUAUGGGUAGGGCUUCGCACGUCAUACAAUGGUCGGUACAAAGGGUUGCCAACCCGCGAGGGGGAGCUAAUCCCAUAAAGCCGAUCGUAGUCCGGAUCGCAGGCUGCAACUCGCCUGCGUGAAGUCGGAAUCGCUAGUAAUCGUGGAUCAGCAUGUCACGGUGAAUACGUUCCCGGGUCUUGUACACACCGCCCGUCACACCAUGGGAGCGGGUUCCGCCAGAAGUAGGUAGCCUAACCGCAAGGAGGGCGCUUACCACGGCGGGGUUCGUGACUGGGGUGAAGUCGUAACAAGGUAACCAAGGGCGAA